UGGGGAAUUUUGGACAAUGGGCGAAAGCCUGAUCCAGCAAUGCCGCGUGUGUGAAGAAGGCCUUCGGGUUGUAAAGCACUUUUGUCCGGAAAGAAAUCCUUGGCUCUAAUACAGUCGGGGGAUGACGGUACCGGAAGAAUAAGCACCGGCUAACUACGUGCCAGCAGCCGCGGUAAUACGUAGGGUGCAAGCGUUAAUCGGAAUUACUGGGCGUAAAGCGUGCGCAGGCGGUUUGCUAAGACCGAUGUGAAAUCCCCGGGCUCAACCUGGGAACUGCAUUGGUGACUGGCAGGCUAGAGUAUGGCAGAGGGGGGUAGAAUUCCACGUGUAGCAGUGAAAUGCGUAGAGAUGUGGAGGAAUACCGAUGGCGAAGGCAGCCCCCCUGGGCCAAAUACUGACGCUCAUGCACGAAAGGCGUGGGGAGCAAACAGGAUUAGAUACCCUGGUAGUCCACGCCCUAAACGAUGUCAACUAGUUGUUGGGGAUUCAUUUCCUUAGUAACGUAGCUAACGGUGAAGUUGACCGCCUGGGGAGUACGGUCGC
Molecule: ribosomal RNA, 543 nt
Filed under: uncultured bacterium
Lineage: Bacteria
Description: partial 16S ribosomal RNA
Rfam family: Bacterial small subunit ribosomal RNA
Source: RNAcentral